This is a non-coding RNA of Bactrocera oleae (olive fruit fly), 976 nucleotides long. NCBI's taxonomy places the organism in Eukaryota, Metazoa, Arthropoda, Insecta, Diptera, Tephritidae. The record is from RefSeq and is a predicted model, not a curated record.
AAAAAAAUCGAAUCGACGAUAAAUUGCCAGAAUCAACUAGGCGAUUUCGUAGUUGCCAGAAUGUUCUAGCGGCAGAGAUUUGAUUGGAUUUUGGCCUUUUCGAAUAUAUGAAAAAUCAAUAUUCGAAUCAGCUGUUUACUAUCGCGAUAAAACUGGCAAAAGAAUAAAUUUGGAAGCGUUUGAUAAAUUUAUAACACUAAAUAAAAUCUACAAAAGUUUAUAAUAAGUUGCGCUAGUUUAGCUUUCAUUUAUUGGAAAAAAAGCAACGAAAAUAUUAAAAGGAAGAUAAUAAGAUUAAUGUGUUAUAUUCUUAUGUGUUCCCCUACAGAAGUUAAGAUAAAUUAAAUCUUGUGGUGGAAGUUGUAGAAGUAGUAUCCUUCUCUUUAUUUCCAAAGUCUGGGUAUAAUUUCGCCACUUGUCCGACGGGUGUACAAAGACGACCUGAAAAGUCAACUCGCUUCGCAGACUGACUACGUUCGGUACUACUGACAAUGUCCAAAAGGGAUCUGUAAAGUCAAAAGUGAAAUAGAAAAUAAGGGGAAUUAAUACUAAACAUCUCAUACCGUUGUCCGCCACUGAGAGCACGUUUGUGGGUCUUAUGAAUUCCGAUGCUACUAUUGCUGUUGUCUAUUGAAUGCGGAGGCGACAUUGGAGAAUCACGCAUUACAGCUUUAGUAGUUGAGUCACCUUCAAUACAAAUUAGAUUAAUUACAUUAGUGCAAUAAUCUACUGUUCAUUAAUCAAAAUAAUUAUUAUUUACUUUGGUACUUAAAGCAAUCCUCUUUUAAAAAAAUAUUCUAGUACGAACUCUAACAGAACUAGUAUAUUUGUAUAUACUUAACAGUGCUACUAUAACAAUAAUUACAUUUUUGUAAAUUUUUUAAAUGGAAAAUGUAGGUUUGAAAAAUACUGUUAUAGCAAGAUAAGAUAUUUUUGAUUAUUUAUUGAUGUGCGAUAAUAAAUAAUUUACUUACGA